This 211-nucleotide unclassified non-coding RNA is filed under the name plant metagenome. Its description in RNAcentral is "partial contains small subunit ribosomal RNA, internal transcribed spacer 1, and 5.8S ribosomal RNA". The record is from RNAcentral.
UUUCCGUAGGUGAACCUGCGGAAGGAUCAUUCAUAAUAAAGUGUUUUAUGGCACUUUUUAAAAAUCCAUAUCCACCUUGUGUGCAAUGUUAGAUCUCGUCAAUCUUGGCGAGAUUUUUAUACAUCAACUCAUUUUUUAACUAAUUUGUCUGAAAAAUAUUAUGAACACUUAAUUCAAAAUACAACUUUCAACAACGGAUCUCUUGGCUCUC